UACGUAGGGUGCGAGCGUUAAUCGGAAUUACUGGGCGUAAAGCGUGCGCAGGCGGUUCGUUGUGUCGGUGGUGAAAGCCCCGGGCUUAACCUGGGAAUGGCCAUGGAAACUGGCGAACUGGAGUGUGGCAGAGGGGGGUGGAAUUCCGCGUGUAGCAGUGAAAUGCGUAGAGAUGCGGAGGAACACCGAUGGCGAAGGCGAGUCCCUGGACAACACCUGACACUGAGGCACGAAAGCUAGGGGAGCAAACAGG
Molecule: ribosomal RNA, 253 nt
Filed under: uncultured bacterium
Lineage: Bacteria
Description: partial 16S ribosomal RNA
Rfam family: Bacterial small subunit ribosomal RNA
Source: RNAcentral